UUGUCAGUUAAAUCUAAUACAAAAUAAUAAAACACACACACAAAAAGAUCCAGGUUUUUGCAGAGCAAACAACCUCCAUGGGUGACUGAGCUGGAAAGAAUCCCUUUACAGCAGUUAUGGACCACACCUUGUUCAUCAGAAUGGUUAGUUUGUAGUUCAGUUUCAAUAACUUUGUGCAAUGCAACUUCUUCGGCUUGAGGCUCUUCCGCUUUAUCAUAGACAGGAUGAGUCGAAAUAGUAGAAGCUGUGCUAUACUCUGAGCUGGCUGGAGAUUCCUCACACAGAUCAGGUGGCCUGCGAUAUAAGUACUAUCAGG
This 316-nucleotide long non-coding RNA is filed under the name Eucalyptus grandis. RNAcentral's name for it is "long non-coding RNA (EGRA_LNC001098)". Lineage: Eukaryota; Viridiplantae; Streptophyta; Magnoliopsida; Myrtales; Myrtaceae. The record is from RNAcentral.